AAGAGCCGUGAUGUGAAUGAGAUGGCUGUUUGUUCUAUGCGGCUCUAGAGGAAGAGAUGGGCUCAAGGGGCCGAGAGCCAGAAUUCGGUUUUAAUCAAGGAGGUACUAUUGAACAAAUAGAACUUCGGGGCAGUGUGAUGUAUGCCUGCGGAAGGCACGUCUCUAUCACUGGACUAAAUGUCCUGUGUCCUGGGCCAGUGAACUCAGCAACUUUGUCCUGCGAAUCUGGAACCCAAAGCCUUGCUUCUGUCCCCACCAGAAAGAGGACAGAGCCCCGAGUGCCGAGCACUGAGGAUCCCACCUCUCCGCUGUUUUUCUCUACAGCCUGCUCAGGCCUUCAGUGAGCAGCACCUGCCACCCAACACGAAUGAAACACCAGAACUGCAUUUUCUUAGCAACUGAAGCCUCACCCCUGCCACCGUGGAAGAGGGACCCUGUAAAACUCCCUCUUCUUUGAAGAAACACAACUGAGACCAAGUGAGAAGUAGCUACAGUUUAAUACAAACCUGCACCA
Hyaena hyaena (striped hyena) is the source of this 514-nucleotide long non-coding RNA. RefSeq lists it as uncharacterized. NCBI's taxonomy places the organism in Eukaryota, Metazoa, Chordata, Mammalia, Carnivora, Hyaenidae. The record is from RefSeq and is a predicted model, not a curated record. The transcript has 2 exons.